This 577-nucleotide small RNA is filed under the name Pongo abelii (Sumatran orangutan). RNAcentral's name for it is "processed transcript". The record is from RNAcentral. Lineage: Eukaryota; Metazoa; Chordata; Mammalia; Primates; Hominidae.
UCCCCUCCCCCUCUCCUGAUAGAAGUGGAGAAACAUUAUGAUUCUAUGGCAGUUGAUGGUGGGCUGGAGAGGGCAGUUUAGAGCAGAAAAGGGGCUAAGUUGAAUGGAUCGCAGCAGUUACCAUUGCUGCUGGGACAGCUGCAAUUGGUUAUCUAGCUUACAAAAGAUUUUAUGUUAAAGAUCAUCGAAAUAAAGCUAUGAUAAACCUUCACAUCCAGAAAGACAACCCCAAGAUAGUACAUGCUUUUGACAUGGAGGAUUUGGGAGAUAAAGCUGUGUACUGCCGUUGUUGGAGGUCCAAAAAGUUCCCAUUCUGUGAUGGGGCUCACACAAAACAUAACGAAGAGACUGGAGACAAUGUGGGCCCUCUGAUCAUCAAGAAAAAAGAAACUUAAAUGGACACUUUUGAUGCUGCAAAUCAGCUUGUCGUGAAGUUACCUGAUGGUUUAAUUAGAAUGACUACCACCUCUGUCUGAUUCACCUUCGCUGGAUUCUAAAUGUGGUAUAUUGCAAACUGCAGCUUUCACAUUCAUGGCAUUUGUCUUGUUGAAACAUCGUGGUGCACAUUUGUUUAAAC